GUGGCUGGAGAGAUGGCUCAGCGGUUAUGAGCAUUGACUGCUCUUCCGAAGGUCCUGAGUUCAAAUCCCAGCAACCACA
Molecule: transfer RNA, 79 nt
Filed under: Mus musculus (house mouse)
Lineage: Eukaryota; Metazoa; Chordata; Mammalia; Rodentia; Muridae
Description: tRNA-Ser
Source: RNAcentral